Molecule: long non-coding RNA, 2648 nt
Organism: Pan troglodytes (chimpanzee)
Lineage: Eukaryota; Metazoa; Chordata; Mammalia; Primates; Hominidae
Exons: 4
Source: RefSeq, a predicted model, not a curated record
ACGCAGCGCUCUGUGUCUAGCUAGAGGUUUGUAAACACACCAAUCAGCACUCUGUCAAAACGCACCAAUCAGCUCUCUGUAAAAUGGACCAGUCAGCUCUCUGUAACAUGGACAAUCAGCAGGAUGUGGGUGGGGCCAGAUAAGGGAAGCAGGCCUCCAAAGCCAGCAAUGGCAACCCACUUGGGUCCCUUUCAAUGCUGUGGAAGCGUUGUUCUUUCACUCUUCUCAAUAAAUCUUGCUGCUGCUCACUCUUUGGGUCUGCCCCGCUGUUAUGAGCGGUAACACUCACAGCCAGGGUCUGCAGUUUCAUUCCUGAAGCCAGCAAGACCACAAACCCACAGGGCGGGACAAACAACUCCGGACGGGAGGAAUGAACAACUCUGGACGCGCCACUUCUGUGAACUUUUAUGAACUCUAACACUCACCGCAAAGGUCUGCAGCUUCACCCCUGAGGCCAGGGAGACCACGAACCCACCGGAAGGAAUGAACAACUCCAGACGCACUGCCUUUAAGAGCUGUAACACUUACCACGGCUGUCUGCAGCUUCACUCCUGAAGUCAGCGAGACCACAAACCCAACAGAAGGAAGAAACUCCCGACACAUCUGAACAUCUGAAGGAACAAACUCUGGACACACCAUCUUUAAGAACUGUAACACUCACCGUGAGGGUCCACCGCUUCAUUCUUGAAGUCAGCCAGACCAAGAACCCACCAAUUCCGGCUAGAGUGCAGCGUCGUGAUCAAGGCUCACUGCAGCCUCAACAUCCUGAUCCCCAGUGUUCCUCCCACCUCAGCCUCCCAAGUAGCUGGGACCACAGUCUGUCUGAAUCAUGUUAUUGGACCAUGAGAGCAAGCAGCUGGAUCUCAUUCUGUCCAGGACUCCUGGAAACAGCAGCUCUAACAAAAUUGUCUUCAAUAAAUAAGUUUUUUUGCAUCACAUUUGUGUAUGUCCUGAAUGUUCUGAGCCCUUCAGAUUUGACUCAUAUUCGUGCUAAAAUAAAAAAUGCAAAUGAAAAUUGUAUAGCUAAUUACGAGAAAAAUAAAGCAUCAUAAGAAAACCGGUAAACUAUAUUUUUAACAAACAAAAAUGUAGAACAUACUUACCUAUACUUUUAGUUUAAGGGGAAAUAUUCUUUCAUUAUAUAGGUUUAUGAAAUACAAUAUUAAGAAUGGUAAAGAUUAUUAUUUUACUGACUUUAACUACAAAAAUGCCUUUGAGAAAAUGUUUUCUUCCCUGGAUCUUGACCUAAUUGGAUAAUUUUAUGUGAGCUAAUAUUUCCGGUCUGAUAAGACUUUCAAGGGAGCCAAUUAUGUGCUUUUAUCCCAUCAAUAUUGCAGUAUUACAGGUUUUUCUGUGGCCUUUUGUACCAUUUUUUUUUGUUGUUGUAAAUAUUAAGUUUUGCUCUUUGGGAGAAAACAUUUCUUCCUUGACUGUUAUUGCUGCUGAUAGCUAGAAAGGAUUACCAGUAGAACCCCUUCUUUAAAGAAAAAGAAAAAGAUUGGGCUAUAAAUGAUUGUUUUUUAUUUCAAAAUCCAUCAAACUGAGUUUAACUAACACUAGAGCAUUGCAGGUAGCUUACUACAGAAAUAGUUUUUUUUAAUUUCUUAUCACAAAUAAAAACGUCUGCAAAUCAUUACUAUAAGUGUUAAAUAGAGAUGCUAGUUGAUAAGGAAACCACUACUAAGCUUGCUCUGGUUUGUAUGGUAGUGUGUCUGAUGAAAACAGAACAAAUAACUAUCUGAGAAAAUUCUAUCUUCAGGAUAAUCCUUGAGAAUACUCAAAGUACCAGCAAAAUUGUAAGACUACUGUCCAAAAUAAGGUUCAGAAUGAGCUUUCUGUGCUCACAUUUCAUUCUCAAUGGGACCUGGCUUCCUGGGGUUGAAAUGCAGAUCUGGCUUCUAUUAAGGAUGAGAUAUACAAAAUCUUUGCAUUCAUUCAGAUUUUUUGCAAAUAAAAUAAUUGGAAUUUUGACUAGGCAAAAAUAAGAAGUCUCCAUGUUUAGGUUAUUGGGCAUUGUUUCAAAAUCUUAAAAAAAAAAAUUAAACUUUUUUUUCUCCCAUCGAAGGUUUUGGGUUGAGACUUUCAUAUGCACUUUAAAAAUGUUAUUUAAUAGAGUUGAUUUUUUAAAGAUGUAAAAAGAAACAAUUUUAAGACAAAAAGUGUUUUUUUAAUAUAAGAUUGUAACUACUAGUUUUUGAAGAAAAAAAUUAUAGCAACAGUUGCAAAUUAAUUUUUUUUAUGUAGGAACUUGAACAAUGUUUAGAGAAAUACAGCAACAAAUCUCACAUAAUUGUUAAGCGUUUCAUGAAAGAAUCUUGGCCUGACAAAUAAAUGCAUAAAAAAGUGAUCUUACAUUGCAACUGUUUGAAUUGUUUUGAAAUUGUCACUAUAUUAGAUUUACCGUCUAUCAUGACUUAUGGUGCCUUUCAAAAGAAACCAAAGGAUAUAAUAUUGACUAACAGAAAUCCAAAGUGGAGGUUGUUUUUAUACUGUUAAAUACAAGGGUUAAAGUGUCCUGGAGACUUUUACGUACCUAGAUUUAACAUUUUCAUAUUCUUGGUAAUUAUCUAGUAAGAUUAUAGUUGAUUUUUUAAUAUUCUUCAAAAUAUUCAUGUACUUUUUUGUUAAAUAAAUUUGACUUCUUUCUC